Molecule: ribosomal RNA, 291 nt
Filed under: Triticum aestivum (bread wheat)
Lineage: Eukaryota; Viridiplantae; Streptophyta; Magnoliopsida; Poales; Poaceae
Description: partial small subunit ribosomal RNA
Source: RNAcentral
AUGAGCAGCUCCAUCUCAGGCUCGGCGAGCUUGGAGCCCACCCGGGCAAGGCCAGCCUUGAGCUCCUCCAGCGUGACCCGGCCGUUGUUGUCUGUGUCCAUGAGAGCGAACAUCUCCUUGAUCACCUCCACCUCCUCCGCGGACAGGUGCUCCGCGAUGACCCGCAUCGCCUUCUUCUUGAAGCGGUUCAUGACAGAGAACUGCUUCAGCCGCGCCCGCACCACGUCCCCCAGCGGCACGUUCGUGGAGAUCGAGCAGGUAGUUACCGACCGAGGACUUGGCGGGCGGUGA